This 497-nucleotide ribosomal RNA is filed under the name uncultured bacterium. RNAcentral's name for it is "partial 16S ribosomal RNA". It matches the Rfam family "Bacterial small subunit ribosomal RNA", at positions 28 to 507 of the family's 1533-position model. The record is from RNAcentral.
GAUGAACGCUGGCGGCGUGCCUAAUACAUGCAAGUCGAGCGAACGGACGAGAAGCUUGCUUCUCUGAUAUUAGCGGCGGACGGGUGAGUAACACGUGGAUAACCUACCUAUAAGACUGGGAUAACUUCGGGAAACCGUAGCUAAUACCGGAUAAUAUUUUGAAACGCAUGGUUCAAAAGUGAAAGAUGGUCUUGCUGUCACUUAUAGUUGGCUCCGCGCGGCAUUAGCUAGUUGGUAAGGUAACGGCUUACCAAGGCAACGAAGCAUAGCCGACAGGAGAGGUUGAUGGGCAACACUGGAACUGAGACACGGUCCAGACUCCUACGGGAGGCAGCAGUGGGGAAUCUUCCGCAAUGGGCGAAGGCCUGACGGAGCAACGCGGCGUGAGUGAUGAAGGUCUUCGGAUCGUAAAACUCUGUUAUUAGGGAGGAAGAUAUGGGUAAUUAACUGUUCACAUCUUGACGGUACCUACUCAGAAAGCCACGGCUAACUACGUG